RNAcentral lists this transfer RNA (74 nucleotides) under Scinax sp. KAV27. RNAcentral describes it as "tRNA-Leu". It matches the Rfam family "tRNA". Rfam says of the family: Transfer RNA (tRNA) molecules are approximately 80 nucleotides in length. The record is from RNAcentral. Lineage: Eukaryota; Metazoa; Chordata; Amphibia; Anura; Hylidae.
AGUUAACGUAGCAAAGCCAGGCCUUGCCAAAGAUCUAAGCCCUUUUCACAGAGGUUCAAAUCCUCUCGUUAACU